This 253-nucleotide ribosomal RNA is filed under the name uncultured prokaryote. RNAcentral describes it as "partial 16S ribosomal RNA". It matches the Rfam family "Bacterial small subunit ribosomal RNA", at positions 524 to 776 of the family's 1533-position model. The record is from RNAcentral.
AACGUAGGGGACAAGCGUUAUCCGGAUUUACUGGGCGUAAAGCGCCCGUAGGCGGCUUUGUAAGUUGGACGUGAAAGCUCCCGGCUUAACUGGGAGAGGCCGUUCAAAACUGCAAGGCUAGAGUGAGGCAGAGGAGUGCGGAAUUCCCGGUGUAGUGGUGGAAUGCGUAGGGAUGUGGAGGAACACCAAUGGCGAAGGCAGCCUUCUGGGCCAACACUGACGCUCAUGCACGAAAGCGUGGGGAGCAAACAGG